Molecule: small RNA, 538 nt
Filed under: Pan troglodytes (chimpanzee)
Lineage: Eukaryota; Metazoa; Chordata; Mammalia; Primates; Hominidae
Description: processed transcript
Source: RNAcentral
GCUCCGGCGGGCGGACUCGGAGCGGGCGGCGGAGUGACCCGGACAGCUGUCCUCUCUGACACCACCCCGGCCUGCCUCUUUGUUGCCAUGAGAGCUGCCUACCUCUUCCUGCUAUUCCUGCCUGCAGGCUUGCUGGCUCAGGGCCAGUAUGACCUGGACCCGCUGCCGCCGUUCCCUGACCACGUCCAGUACACCCACUAUAACGACCAGAUCGACAACCCAGACUACUAUGAUUAUCAAGGUAACGGGCUAGGGGUAGGAUAGGACGGGCCGGCAGCUGGGGUGGGGAGACCCCCUGGGAAGGGUAGAGGGAGCAGACCCCCUUAUCCUCCCCUGGCUGCAGAGGUGACUUCUCGGCCCUCCGAGGAACAGUUCCAGUCCCAGCAGCAAGUCCAACAGAAAGUCAUCCCAGCCCCAACCCCAGAACCAGGAAAUGCAGAGCUGGAGCCCACAGAGCCUGGGCCUCUUGACUGCCGUGAGGAACAGUACCCGUGCACCCGCCUCUACUCCAUACACAGGCCUUGCAAACAGUGUCUCA